CCUCGGGUGGCAGCAGUGGGGAAUAUUGCACAAUGGGGGAAACCCUGAUGCAGCGACGCCGCGUGAGUGAAGAAGUAAUUCGUUACGUAAAGCUCUAUCAGCAGGGAAGAAAAUGACGGUACCUGAGUAAGAAGCCCCGGCUAACUACGUGCCAGCAGCCGCGGUAAUAAGUAGGGGGCAAGCGUUAUCCGGAUUUACUGGGGGUAAAGGGAGCGUAGACGGCAGCACAAGUCUGGAGUGAAAUCCCGGGGCUUAACCCCGGAACUGCUUUGGAAACUGUGCGGCUGGAGUGCAGGAGGGGUAAGCGGAAUUCCUAGUGUAGCGGUGAAAUGCGUAGACAUUAGGAGGAACACCGGUGGCGAAGGCGGCUUACUGGACUGUAACUGACGUUGAGGCUCGAAAGUGUGGGGAGCAAACAGGAUUAGAUACCCUUGUAGUC
This 439-nucleotide ribosomal RNA is filed under the name uncultured bacterium. Its description in RNAcentral is "partial 16S ribosomal RNA". It matches the Rfam family "Bacterial small subunit ribosomal RNA", at positions 339 to 795 of the family's 1533-position model. The record is from RNAcentral.